GAUGAACGCUAGCGACAGGCUUAACACAUGCAAGUCGAGGGGCAGCGCGGGUAGCAAUACCUGGCGGCGACCGGCGCACGGGUGCGUAACACGUGUGUAACCUACCUACAACAGGAGGAUAACCCGGAGAAAUUCGGACUAAUACCCCAUAAUACAGGGCUACCGCAUGGUAAUAUUUGUUAAAGAUUUAUCGGUUGUAGAUGGGCACGCGCAACAUUAGAUAGUUGGAGAGGUAACGGCUCACCAAGUCAGCGAUGUUUAGGGGAACUGAGAGGUUGGUCCCCCACACUGGUACUGAGACAGGGACCAGACUCCUACGGGAGGCAGCAGUGAGGAAUAUUGGUCAAUGAGCGAGAGCUUGAACCAGCCAAGUCGCGUGAAGGAAGAAGGUGCUAUGCAUUGUAAACUUCUUUUAAAUGGGAAUAAAAAGGGGGACGUGUCCUCUGUUGUAUGUACCAUUUGAAUAAGCAUCGGCUAACUCCGUGCCAGCAGCCGCGGUAAUACGGAGGAUGCGAGCGUUAUCCGGAUUUAUUGGGUUUAAAGGGUGCGUAGGCGGACCCGCAAGUCAGAGGUGAAAUCUUGUCGCUUAACGAUAACAAUGCCUUUGAAACUGCUGGUCUUGAGUGUAAAUGAGGUAGGCGGAAUGUGGUGUGUAGCGGUGAAAUGCUUAGAUAUGCCACAGAACACCGAUUGCGAAGGGCAGCUUACUGGGAUACAACUGACGCUGAGGCACGAAAGCGUGGGGGAUCAAACAGGAUUAGAUACCCUGGGUAGUCCACGCAGUAAACGAUGAUUACUAACUGUUUGC
Molecule: ribosomal RNA, 808 nt
Filed under: uncultured Bacteroidota bacterium
Lineage: Bacteria; Pseudomonadati; Bacteroidota
Description: bacterial SSU rRNA
Rfam family: Bacterial small subunit ribosomal RNA
Source: RNAcentral